This 72-nucleotide transfer RNA is filed under the name Eubacterium sp. Its description in RNAcentral is "tRNA-Gln". It matches the Rfam family "tRNA". Rfam says of the family: Transfer RNA (tRNA) molecules are approximately 80 nucleotides in length. Lineage: Bacteria; Bacillati; Bacillota; Clostridia; Eubacteriales; Eubacteriaceae. The record is from RNAcentral.
UGGGCUAUAGCCAAGCGGUAAGGCACAGGACUUUGACUCCUGCAUUCGUUGGUUCGAAUCCAACUGGCCCAG